RNAcentral lists this ribosomal RNA (357 nucleotides) under Triticum aestivum (bread wheat). RNAcentral's name for it is "partial small subunit ribosomal RNA". Lineage: Eukaryota; Viridiplantae; Streptophyta; Magnoliopsida; Poales; Poaceae. The record is from RNAcentral.
AUGACUUGUCAUGAAAUACAGAAGCAAAUGGUACAAGCUUGCGCAGAAAAGACCACCGAAGUAAUCAUGAACGAGCUUGGGCAUAGCCAUUUCUCUCUACUUGUUGAUGAGUCUCGUGAUGCAUCCGUUAGAGAACAAAUGGCUGUCAUUAUCAGGUUUUUGAACAUAAAGGGAGAUAUUUUGGAAAGGUUACUUGCUGUCAAGCAUGUAGUGAACACCACAUCCGCUUCUCUCAAAAGAUCCUUGGAUGAAGUGUUUGCUACCCAUGGAUUAUCCAUAUCUAGAUUGAGAGGGCAAGGUUAUGAUGGCGCCUCAAAUAUGCGUGGGCAGCUAAAUGGCUUAAAAAACUGGUGCUAG